UAUGCUGUCUCUUUUAUUCCAUUGUAGAACUCUUUAAGGGCAGUCUACAUCUUGGAAUCGCAGAAGAUGAGCUGAAUGUCACAGCUGGAAAGGAUUGUACAACAUAGAUCAUAGAAUUUUAGAGCUGCAAGGGACCUUUUCCAGGAUCCUCAUUUUAUAGAUUGGGAAACUGAGAUCUUGAGAGAGGAAAUGGUACGUGUCUGUUCAUAAAACCAGUUAGAGAAAGAGCUGGGAUGUCUAUGUCUUUUUUUAUUUCCUUUACCACACCCACUCAACUAAUUCAAUUCAAUUGGCAUUUAUUAAGCUAUUAAACUCCUGGGCUCUGUACCCAGUAGGAGUUUAAUAAAGAUUGUUAACUGACUGCCCUAGGGAUCUGAGCUCAUCUAGGGAGUUACAAUCCUUAGAAAACCAACAUCUUUAAAAGCGAUCAAAAUGAAUGGGUAAGAGUGACCUCACCUCAGCAUGUGUCGGAUCCCAACAUGCUGGAGGCUUGUUAAAGUUAAUUGACUUAUAUUUGGUGACCCAUUCCACCAGGCCCCCUUUAAAGCCAUAGUGGACUCACAGGGGCCACCGGAGUGCAGCAUUCCUAUGUGCUUAGAUGGACCUUUGGUCCAAUAGUGACUUCAUUCCAAUUGAUUAACUUCAUAUUGUUUCAAUUUUUUUUCAUGCUAUGUGAUCGAAGAUUAGUUGGCAUCUGGGAAUUACAGUCAUCCCUCAGAGUGCUGGCACUGACAGAGAAGAGGGAAGGUUACAUGCCUGGGCAGGUACAGAUGUCUGAGUGCUGCCUGGAUCAACCCCAGAAAAGAGAGAUUGGUGACCAACAUUGUGAAAGGCAGGUAGAGACUCUCUGGUCCUCAGGGUCAACUUAAGACUAGCGAUCAGCUAUAUUACUUUAGGUAAGUCACUUCCUCUUCCUAGUGCUCAGUUUCCUCAUCUAUGAAAUGAGGAGAUUGAAAAAGAUGGACCCCAAGUAAUCCUUCAGCCCUAAGAAACAGGGGAAUAAAUUGAAAAAAGCACUAAAGUUGAAGUCA
Molecule: long non-coding RNA, 1031 nt
Filed under: Monodelphis domestica (gray short-tailed opossum)
Lineage: Eukaryota; Metazoa; Chordata; Mammalia; Didelphimorphia; Didelphidae
Description: lncRNA (ENSMODG00000031752.2)
Source: RNAcentral